AUGGACGGCACCACCGACACCACCACCGACGGAGCGCACUCCUCCGAAUCAGAGGCCGACUCCUCCAUGUCGCCCAACGCACAGAAACGCAAGUCGGGGAAGGACGCCGACGCAGAGGGGGCCAGCGCCAGAGCCGACGCGCACCCGGAGCAAGGAGAGCCGACCCGCCCCGCAGACAGCGGGAGGGGCGGCGGGGGGGGAGGGCGGGGGAGCCAUGGGAAGCGGCGAGGGCAGGGGAGGAGGGAGACGGGGCGCAAGGGGACGAAGGGAGAGGAGGGAGAGGAGAGACUGCCAUCUCAUAGUAGUUUCAUCCAUACAAGUUCUGAUAAGUUUCCUUAUUUAGCAUGUGAAAUCCCUUAUUCAACAAUGAUUUUCAGGCCAAAUCAGAUGAUGCAGGUUUUUCCAUUGAAGAGAGCAAAUUAUUCGAGAAAACUGCAAUAUGAGAGGCCUGGUUGGUACCUUCAGAAAGUUGCAUCCUAA
Molecule: ribosomal RNA, 480 nt
Filed under: Triticum aestivum (bread wheat)
Lineage: Eukaryota; Viridiplantae; Streptophyta; Magnoliopsida; Poales; Poaceae
Description: partial small subunit ribosomal RNA
Source: RNAcentral